UGGGGAAUAUUGGGCAAUGGGCGCAAGCCUGACCCAGCAACGCCGCGUGAAGGAAGAAGGCCCUCGGGUUGUAAACUUCUUUUAUUGAGGACGAAACAAAUGACGGUACUCGAUGAAUAAGCCACGGCUAACUACGUGCCAGCAGCCGCGGUAAUACGGAGGAUGCGAGCGUUAUCCGGAUUUAUUGGGUUUAAAGGGUGCGUAGGCGGCACCGUAAGUUAGUGGUUAAAUCGUUCGGCUCAACCGGAUGUUGCCAUUAAAACUGCGGAGCUAGAGUACAGAUGAGGUAGGCGGAAUAAGUUAAGUAGCGGUGAAAUGCAUAGAUAUCGGGAGGAACACCAGUGGCGAAGGCGGCCUACUGGGCACUAACUGACGCUGAGGCUCGAAAGCAUGGGUAGCAAACA
RNAcentral lists this ribosomal RNA (404 nucleotides) under uncultured bacterium. Its description in RNAcentral is "bacterial SSU rRNA". It matches the Rfam family "Bacterial small subunit ribosomal RNA", at positions 355 to 774 of the family's 1533-position model. The record is from RNAcentral.